CAGCCGCCGCGGUAAUACGGAGGGGGCUAGCGUUGUUCGGAAUUACUGGGCGUAAAGCGCACGUAGGCGGCUUGGUAAGUUAGAGGUGAAAGCCUGGAGCUCAACUCCAGAAUUGCCUUUAAGACUGCCGAGCUAGCAGGUGAGAGAGGUAAGUGGAAUUCCGAGUGUAGAGGUGAAAUUCGUAGAUAUUCGGAAGAACACCAGUGGCGGAGGCGGCUUACUGGCUCAUACUGGACGCUGAGGUGCGAAAGCGUGGGGAGCAAACAGGAUUAGAUACCCCAGUAGUCCCUGUCUCUUAUAC
This 301-nucleotide ribosomal RNA is filed under the name uncultured bacterium. RNAcentral describes it as "partial 16S ribosomal RNA". It matches the Rfam family "Bacterial small subunit ribosomal RNA", at positions 509 to 807 of the family's 1533-position model. The record is from RNAcentral.